This 497-nucleotide ribosomal RNA is filed under the name uncultured bacterium. Its description in RNAcentral is "partial 16S ribosomal RNA". It matches the Rfam family "Bacterial small subunit ribosomal RNA", at positions 28 to 507 of the family's 1533-position model. The record is from RNAcentral.
GAUGAACGCUGGCGGCGUGCCUAAUACAUGCAAGUCGAGCGGACGGACGAGAAGCUUGCUUCUCUGAUGUUAGCGGCGGACGGGUGAGUAACACGUGGAUAACCUACCUAUAAGACUGGGAUAACUUCGGGAAACCGGAGCUAAUACCGGAUAAUAUUUUGAACCGCAUGGUUCAAAAGUGAAAGACGGUCUUGCUGUCACUUAUAGAUGGAUCCGCGCUGCAUUAGCUAGUUGGUAAGGUAACGGCUUACCAAGGCAACGAUGCAUAGCCGACCUGAGAGGGUGAUCGCCCACACUGGAACUGAGACACGGUCCAGACUCCUACGGGAGGCACCAGUAGGGAAUCUUCCGCAAUGGGCGAAAGCCUGACGGAGCAACGCCGCGUGAGUGAUGAAGGUCUUCGGAUCGUAAAACCCUGUUAUUAGGGAAGAACAUAUGUGUAAGUAACUGUGCACAUCUUGACGGUACCUAAUCAGAAAGCCACGGCUAACUACGUG